Molecule: non-coding RNA, 456 nt
Organism: Marmota flaviventris (yellow-bellied marmot)
Lineage: Eukaryota; Metazoa; Chordata; Mammalia; Rodentia; Sciuridae
Source: RefSeq, a predicted model, not a curated record
UGUCCCCAAUAGUCCAGGUCUCAUCAUAGUCGAAGUGGACAUCCCCUUCUCGGUGAGUUUUGGGGAAGAAGGCAUGGGCCAGGAUACCUCCAGGCCCAUCGAAUGGCAAGUUGUCCCCAUGCCAGUACCUGUGGGUGGGUGGGGAUAGAGUCAGUGGCUGCUGGAAGUAGGGUUUUUCCCCUCAGGGGUCCUAUGUUGCAUACUCACCUGGUGAAGUCAAUCAUGAUGUCAGCAUGGCCCUCAUGAACCUCAGUGAAGGCAUCAAGCUUUCUCAUCCUCCCUUCCUGGAGAGCCCUGGGCUGCCUGUCACCAAUCCCUGCUCAGCCUUUAGGACGGACACAUUACUUGAAUGUCGCGUGAAUGCUAUCAGUGUCUGGCGCUGAAUCGGUGGGGUCAAGAUCCCAGGGGACCAGCCGGGAUUAACAGUCGCGUAGCAGAGCCUCCUAGCACCCGGAC